Molecule: ribosomal RNA, 374 nt
Filed under: uncultured organism
Description: partial 16S ribosomal RNA
Rfam family: Bacterial small subunit ribosomal RNA
Source: RNAcentral
GUAGGUGGCAAGCGUUUGUCCGGAAUUAUUGGGCGUAAAGCGCGCGCAGGCGGUUCUUUAAGUCUGAUGUGAAAGCCCACGGCUCAACCGUGGAGGGUCAUUGGAAACUGGAGAACUUGAGUACAGAAGAGGAAAGCGGAAUUCCACGUGUAGCGGUGAAAUGCGUAGAGAUGUGGAGGAACACCAGUGGCGAAGGCGGCUUUCUGGUCUGUAACUGACGCUGAGGCGCGAAAGCGUGGGGAAGCAAACAGGAUUAGAUACCCUGGUAGUCCACGCCGUAAACGAUGAGUGCUAAGUGUUAGGGGGUUUCCGCCCCCCUUAGUGCUGCAGCUAACGCAUUAAGCACUCCGCCUGGGAGUACGGCCGCAAGGCUG